RNAcentral lists this ribosomal RNA (453 nucleotides) under uncultured bacterium. RNAcentral's name for it is "bacterial SSU rRNA". It matches the Rfam family "Bacterial small subunit ribosomal RNA", at positions 340 to 784 of the family's 1533-position model. The record is from RNAcentral.
UACGGAAGGCAGCAGUGGGGAAUAUUGCACAAUGGGCGCAAGCCUGAUGCAGCCAUGCCGCGUGUAUGAAGAAGGCCUUCGGGUUGUAAAGUACUUUCAGUCGUGAGGAAGGUGUUAAGGUUAAUAACCUUAGCAAUUGACGUUAGCGACAGAAGAAGCACCGGCUAACUCCGUGCCAGCAGCCGCGGUAAUACGGAGGGUGCGAGCGUUAAUCGGAAUUACUGGGCGUAAAGGGCACGCAGGCGGUUAAUUAAGUUGGAUGUGAAAUCCCCGGGCUUAACCUGGGAAUGGCAUUCAAGACUGGUUAGCUAGAGUCUUGUAGAGGGGGUAGAAUUCCAUGUGUAGCGGUGAAAUGCGUAGAGAUGUGGAGGAAUACCGGUGGCGAAGGCGGCCCCUGGGACAAAGACUGACGCUCAUGUGCGAAAGCGUGGGGAGCAAACAGGGAUUUAGAUA